RNAcentral lists this ribosomal RNA (253 nucleotides) under uncultured bacterium. Its description in RNAcentral is "partial 16S ribosomal RNA". It matches the Rfam family "Bacterial small subunit ribosomal RNA", at positions 524 to 776 of the family's 1533-position model. The record is from RNAcentral.
UACGGAGGGUGCAAGCAUUGAUCGGAAUUACUGGGCGUAAAGGGCGCGCAGGCGGCUGGGAAAGUCAGAUGUGAAAUUCCGGGGCUCAACCCCGGAACUGCAUUUGAAACUUCCCAACUAGAGUUCAGUUAGGGAAAACGGAAUUCCACGUGUAGCGGUGAAAUGCGUAGAUAUGUGGAAGAACACCGGUGGUGAAGACGGUUUUCUGGGCUGAUACUGACGCUGAGGCGCGAAAGCAAGGGGAGCAAACAGG